RNAcentral lists this unclassified non-coding RNA (146 nucleotides) under uncultured Pseudeurotium. Its description in RNAcentral is "sequence contains ITS2". Lineage: Eukaryota; Fungi; Ascomycota; Leotiomycetes; Thelebolales; Pseudeurotiaceae. The record is from RNAcentral.
CGACCCUCAAGCUCUGCUUGGUAUUGGGCUCUGCCGGUCCUGGCAGGCCUCAAAGUCAGUGGCGGUGCCAUCCGGCUCCAAGCGUAGUAAUUCUUCUCGCUUCGGAGGCCGUGGUGCGUGCUAGCCAGCAACCUCCAAUUUUUUCA